AGUGAACGCUGGCGGUAGGCCUAACACAUGCAAGUCGAACGGCAGCACAGUAAGAGCUUGCUCUUACGGGUGGCGAGUGGCGGACGGGUGAGGAAUACAUCGGAAUCUACUUUUUCGUGGGGGAUAACGUAGGGAAACUUACGCUAAUACCGCAUACGACCUACGGGUGAAAGCAGGGGAUCUUCGGACCUUGCGCGAUUGAAUGAGCCGAUGUCGGAUUAGCUAGUUGGCGGGGUAAAGGCUCACCAAGGCGACGAUCCGUAGCUGGUCUGAGAGGAUGAUCAGCCACACUGGAACUGAGACACGGUCCAGACUCCUACGGGAGGCAGCAGUGGGGAAUAUUGGGCAAUGGGCGCAAGCCUGAUCCAGCCAUACCGCGUGGGUGAAGAAGGCCUUCGGGUUGUAAAGCCCUUUUGUUGGGAAAGAAAAGCAGCAGGUUAAUACCCCGCUGUUCUGACGGUACCCAAAGAAUAAGCACCGGCUAACUUCGUG
Molecule: ribosomal RNA, 492 nt
Filed under: uncultured bacterium
Lineage: Bacteria
Description: partial 16S ribosomal RNA
Rfam family: Bacterial small subunit ribosomal RNA
Source: RNAcentral